CACACCGCCCGUCACACCAUGGGAGUUGGAUUCACUCGAAGGUGUUGAGCUAACCCGCAAGGGAGGCAGGCGACCACAGUGGGUUUAGCGACUGGGGUG
Molecule: ribosomal RNA, 99 nt
Filed under: uncultured bacterium
Lineage: Bacteria
Description: partial 16S ribosomal RNA
Rfam family: Bacterial small subunit ribosomal RNA
Source: RNAcentral